This 2451-nucleotide ribosomal RNA is filed under the name Triticum aestivum (bread wheat). Its description in RNAcentral is "partial small subunit ribosomal RNA". Lineage: Eukaryota; Viridiplantae; Streptophyta; Magnoliopsida; Poales; Poaceae. The record is from RNAcentral.
AUGCUUUCACAUGGAACCAUGAACCUUAUUUUAGUAGUCCUCUCUUCGACCUGGACGCUAUGCUUCAGUUCCUCUGUUUCCAGUAGCCACUUUUCACUAAGCGCUGCAUCCCUGCAUACCCUCCAGCCCUUCUGUUUGAAUCCUGCACUAACCUAUUGCCGUCUCAGUUCGACAAACGGAUUCUUUUUGCAUCCGGCAGCGACUGCAGAAAUGGCGAGUGCACAUGGUGAAUUGGAGAAGAAGCUACAGGAUCCAAAUGCACCACCAAUGUUUCUUCCACUUGAUUUUUUGCAAGAUAUCACAUGUGACUUCUCCACAGAGUCGAAACUUGGCGAAGGCGGGUAUGGAAUAGUUUACAAGGGAGUUCUCCGGACUGGGAAAAUCAUCGCUGUCAAGAAGCUGUUUGAAAUGCGAUUAAAAGAGGAGACGUUUCAGAAUGAGGUCAGUUAUCUUAUGGGGAUCAAACACCAAAACAUAGUGCAGCUUAAAGGUUACUGCGCUGAGUCAAGAUGGGAAGCAAUUGAGAGACCAAGUGGAAGUGGGAAGCAUGUUUUUGCUGAAAUUCCAAAAAGGUUGCUCUGCUUCGAGUACAUAUCCAACAAAAGCCUCAAGAAACAUAUUUCUGAUGAAUCUUUGGGCCUUGAGUGGAAUAUGAGAUACGACAUAAUCAAGGGGAUUUGCAGUGGCAUGCAUUUCCUUCAUGAUGAAUGCCAUAUCGUUCAUCUGGACCUAAAGCCAGAAAAUAUAUUGAUAGACUCUACCAUGACAGCAAAAAUCGCGGAUUUUGGUUUAUCAAGGAUCUUUGGAGAGCAAGAAUCACAAAUUAUCACGGAUAAUCGUGCUGGAACAUGUGGAUAUAUGGCGCCAGAAUACUUAAUCCGAGGUGUAGUGUCAAACAAGGCAGAUAUCUUCAGUAUGGGUGUCAUAGUUAUAGAGAUAAUUACAGGUCAUAGGGACUAUCCAGAUUUCCAGCAAGAUAAUCCCCACAGUGCUGCAGCAUCACUCCAGCAAUUCACAGAAAAAGUGCACCUUAGCUGGAGGAACAAACUCAUGUCCACACCAGACUAUAAAUCAACAGAAACAUCUGUCCGACAAGUAAGACAAUGUAUUGGUAUAGCGCUUGAAUGUGUGCACCCUAGCAUGGAGAAAAGACCUACUGCAAAGGAUAUACUCGAAAUGCUUAAUGGAUUAGACAAGAUGGUGGCAGACUACGAGCCGCUGUCGGACAUGCAGUGCAAGGACAUGCUGCAGGCCCUGAACACUACUGUGAGUAACGAUCUCACAUCCCAGAACCGGAGUAUAACUAACGACAUGUUAAACAAAGAGACAGAUAGUAAAGUGGUGGCCAAUGCGAAAUCGGUGGAGGGUUUGUUACACACACCUUUGCCAGAAUCAAACAAAAUAAAUGAGAUGGUGAAGUGGUGGGCAGCGAAGGCAUCCUGUAAGCCACAACCAACAAGGGACACAACCAUUGUGCAGGCAAUCCCUACUUUAACACAGAUCAUAUCUAGGGAGGUCCCUAAAGAGCGCAUGAUUUCACUAGACAUAAAUCAGACAGAGUCAUGGAUUGCAACAGGCCACGAAAAUGGAUAUAUUGAUAUAUGUGAUUAUAUCAUGCAGAAAUCAGUGUGUUUGGUUAAAAUCGAAGAUGUUGACGCCCCAGUUGAUAAUAUUAAAUUUAUUGAAAGAAAGCAAUGGUUUAUUGUUGGGUUAGGGGCUGGGAGUGGCAAAAUCUAUGUGUAUAGCUAUAAACCGGAGGUGCAGAAAAUCACGAGUUUUCGUGUUAAGAGAUACUUAAUCGGUAUCGACUCACUGGCCGUUCAUCCAACCCAACCGUAUGUGUUGUCAUCAUGUAGUGGGUACAUACAACUUUGGGACUGGGAUAGGAACUGGGAGUGCGUCAAAAAGUUUGAGAAACUAUCGUAUUUUAACAUGGAAUUGCAACUUGCAUUUAACCCGAAGGACCCCAAUGAAUUUGCUAGUACUUCAAAUGAUAUGACUGUAAAGCUUUGGAAUCUUGAUUCACUCAAGCCUAAAUAUAUUCUGGAUGGUCAUUCAGCCAAAGUGAACUGUGUUGAGUUCUUCACAACUGAUGAUAAUAAGCAGUAUUUGAUUACUGGAUCUAGUGACAAGUUUGCCAUGAUAUGGGACAUGCAGACAAAAGCAUGUGUUCAAAUAUUUGGAGAGUUCAAGUCGUCCGUUAUUUCUGUUGUUUCCCAUCCCAGUCUUCCAGUUUUAAUUAUAGGCACAAGAGAUGGCACUAUUCAUUUGUGGGGCACACAUUUCAGGUACAAGAGACAACUUACCACCGAGGGAGGUGCUAAUGGUCUCACAUGUUUGACGCCGCUAGGAAGGGUUGUGAUGGGAAACGAGUCGGCGCUAUUCACGAUGGAGAUCCUUGACGAAGAGCCGGAUGCUAUUGUGGAAGCUGAAGAAGCAGUUGCUAGCUAG